This is a long non-coding RNA of Heterocephalus glaber (naked mole-rat), 1287 nucleotides long. The record is from Ensembl. NCBI's taxonomy places the organism in Eukaryota, Metazoa, Chordata, Mammalia, Rodentia, Bathyergidae.
AAGCUCUGGUGUCCCCAGCCCAGCACAAAUGCAUAAAAUACCCAUGUAAUCAUGUUAUUCUGAGCAGGGAUUGAUGGCACAUGCCUGGAAUCCCAGUACUAUAGAAAGCUGGGGCGGGAGGAUAGAACGUUUUAGCCCAGCCUGGGCAAUUUAAUUACUCUGUGAGACCCUGCCUCAAAAUAAAAGUAAAAAAGGCUGGGGGCUGGAGAUGUAGAUCAAUGAAGAGAUAUUCUAGUACUGCAAGUGAUGAUGAUGAUGAUGAUGAUGAUGAUGAUGAUGAUGAUGAUGAUGAUAAAAGUGUCAUCCUAAGUGAGACAAUCUUGACACAAGUGAAUUCUAGAGAGAAGAAUUUGUAAAAAUGCUAAGUGAGACAGUAUCCUAAACUAUAUUUUCUUUUAUUAUAAACCAGAAAAGCCAAUUUUACCCUUGCUCCAUAAUCAAAGAGCUCCUGUAAUUUUUAAAAGCAUCUUACACAGUACUCAGUAUGAGACAAAACUGUGAGAAAAGCAGUGGUCUUUCUCUUUAAGAUUCUUCUUGCCCUAGAAAAAUUUGGCUUUAUUGGAUCCCGAAGCAGAGCUUUUUUUUCAGAGCGUGUGUGUAUUUGCUCUGCUCACAUUAUUUCUUUUCCCCAGAAGGAGACCAAACUGUUUAUAGGGAAGAUAGAAACAAACAAACAACUGGGUAAUAUGCUUCCAAGCAUUCAGAGACAUGUGACCUUUCAGCCAGCACGGAGCUCCACCAGGCAAACAGCAGGCUGGCCAUGCCUGAUUCUUUUGGAGCUGGGAUGCUGCUGCAUCCUUGGGGAUGAGAAUAUAAAUUAUACAGACCAUUAUCAUUUCUUCCCCAGAAUUCUAACUUCUGAAUUCUGACCCAGAAAAUAUGCAAUUGGUUCCCUUGGAGCACAAGAUUCAUGCUGCCCGGUACCUGCUGGAGUGACCGAGGAAGAUUUGAUUGGCCUCUUUGGCCUUCUGCUGCUCUGUGUCCUGAGACAAGCUUCCAGAAGCUGCGAUUUUCUGUUGCCUGGAGGAGAGGCCAGUUUUGUUGUGCCAAUUGGAGUCUUGUAGGUGGUGCCUAUGCUGCAGAUGACACAUCUCCUUUUGCACAGCAAGGCUGUAGAUGGUCCUAGCACCUGUAGCAAAAGGGGCCGAGCCGCGCAUUGUUCCUUUACAUGUCUCCAAGGUACGAACAUGUUUUGCUGUGAACGUUCAUGGCCGAGGGGGCUAGAGCAGCUUUCUGAAGUGACAGUACUUGCCCAAAUACUUUAUUUUGCAUCGCAAUAGGAUUAUA